GGACUGUCUCCCAUCUCCCUCCUCCGCCCCCUUCUGUCUUUCCCUGUGCCUGUCUCUCCCUUUCCCCUAGGUGUUUCUCCCUGGCCCUGUCUCUCAUCUCUGUCUCUUUCUGGGCCUCUCCACAUUUCCCUGCCCCUCUCUCUGCCUGCCCCUUCGUCCUGGUCUGUUUUCUUCUUUGCCUGGCCCUUGGACUCUCCUGUUUUCCUUGUCUCCCUUGUCUCUGGCUGCUCUAGCUAGAGCUCUCCCUUCUCCAUGUCUCUCUAGGUCUCUCCUGUCCCUCCUCUCCAUGUCUCCCCUUUGCAGGAAGCCUUCUCCAGCGCCAGCCAUCAAGGGAGAACGCGGACUCAGAGAAGGGGAGAAGGGAAGAGAAUCGGCAGCCGGAGAGGGAGAGGGGCGGCCUGAGGCAGGGCCCUGUGACGGCCGGUGGCUCGGCGGCGCUGAGGGGCAGCCAGGCAGGGGAGCCAGGAGGCCAGCCAAGGAGGGACUUGGGAACGCUCCAUCCUUCCUUCUCCUGCUCUUCCUCCCCAUCCCUCCCUUCUCUCCCCCCUCCUCUCCUCCUCCUCCUCCUCCUCCUCCUCCUCCUCCUUCCUUCUUUCCUUCCCCUGCUUCCUCCAUCCCCUCUCUUCUGGGCCACCAGGCUCACUCUAUCCCACUGUUCCCUCCCCAUCCCUCCCUUCUCUCCCCCCUCCUCUCCUCCUCCUCCUCCAUUCCCCCUUCCCUCUCUCUCCUCUGUCUCUCCUGUUUCCCCACCCCUCAUCUCCUCCUCCAUCCUUCCCUAUCUCCCUCUCCCAUCCUCUCUUCCCCCAUCUUCCCAGCCUCUCCCCAUCCCCCACACUUUGUGCCCCCAGCCUCUUUUAUCUUCCGCCCUCCCUGUGCUACCAGCUUCCCAGUCCCCCCAUUCUCUGAGCCUCCUUUAUCUCCCCGUUCUUCCCGUCCCCCACUCUCGCCAUCCCCCCACUGUCUUUUACACCCCCCAUCCCCCCUCUGCCAUCCCCCUUCCUCACCCCCGGGGCCUGAUGCUCCCUCGGUCAGGCCUGAAGUCUUGAAUCCUAGUCUCCCUCUCCCCUGCUGCCCCAGGGGAGGGGCAAGGCCUGGGGGGGGGGGAGAACGGGGUAACCCCCUCCCCCUGCCGGCCCCUCCCCUCCCCCACCCCCUCACCUCAUGGCCACGGGCUACAUCUGGGCCCAUCCCUCACCCCCAGCAGCCCCCCCAGGCCGUCCCGGCUGAGGGGAGGGGGCCGGGGGUGGGGAGCCCCAUUUGGGCCAGCUCUCUCCUUCCCUUCUCCUCCAUUUUCUCCUUGCAUUCCCCCUUCUCCUCUCCCCUCUCAGGCCUGCCCGCCAGCCCUCCCUCUCUCCCUCGCCCCGUCCACCUGGCUCCCCACCUCCAGCAGCUGGAGACCAGAAAACUCUCCCCCUGUUCCCAUCUCAGCGUCCCUUCCCACCUCCAUCCUUCUUGGCCCCUGAGCCCGCAAGAGAGCCCCAGCCGCCUGGCCCACCAGGAUCCGUGAGUGUCUGCCUGUGUGUAUGGGUGGUGGGGUGGUGGGAGUGGGGGUGGGGUGGGUGAGUGAGGCUGGGCG
This 1576-nucleotide long non-coding RNA is filed under the name Phascolarctos cinereus (koala). RNAcentral's name for it is "lncRNA (ENSPCIG00000036473.1)". The record is from RNAcentral. Lineage: Eukaryota; Metazoa; Chordata; Mammalia; Diprotodontia; Phascolarctidae.